RNAcentral lists this ribosomal RNA (463 nucleotides) under uncultured bacterium. RNAcentral describes it as "bacterial SSU rRNA". It matches the Rfam family "Bacterial small subunit ribosomal RNA", at positions 335 to 795 of the family's 1533-position model. The record is from RNAcentral.
ACUCCUACGGGAGGCAGCAGUGAGGAAUAUUGGUCAAUGGGCGAGAGCCUGAACCAGCCAAGUCGCGUGAAGGAAGAAGGAUCUAUGGUUCGUAAACUUCUUUUGCAGGGGAAUAAAGUGCGGGACGUGUCCUGUUUUGUAUGUACCCUGAGAAUAAGGAUCGGCUAACUCCGUGCCAGCAGCCGCGGUAAUACGGAGGAUCCGAGCGUUAUCCGGAUUUAUUGGGUUUAAAGGGUGCGUAGGUGGUUUUAUAAGUCAGCGGUGAAAGUUUGCAGCUUAACUGUAAAAAUGCCGUUGAAACUGUAAGACUUGAGUGUAAAUGAGGUAGGCGGAAUGCGUGGUGUAGCGGUGAAAUGCAUAGAUAUCACGCAGAACUCCGAUUGCGAAGGCAGCUUACUAAGCUACAACUGACACUGAAGCACGAAAGCGUGGGGAUCAAACAGGAUUAGAUACCCUGGUAGUC